RNAcentral lists this ribosomal RNA (179 nucleotides) under uncultured bacterium. RNAcentral describes it as "partial 16S ribosomal RNA". It matches the Rfam family "Bacterial small subunit ribosomal RNA", at positions 162 to 334 of the family's 1533-position model. The record is from RNAcentral.
GCUAAUACCGCAUAAUAGUCGACACCGCAUGGUGUUGAUUUGAAAGACGCUUUCGGGUGUCACUGAUGGAUGGACCCGCGGUGCAUUAGCUAGUUGGUGAGGUAACGGCUCACCAAGGCCAUGAUGCAUAGCCGACCUGAGAGGGUGAUCGGCCACACUGGGACUGAGACACGGCCCAG